This 241-nucleotide unclassified non-coding RNA is filed under the name Hevea brasiliensis (rubber tree). Lineage: Eukaryota; Viridiplantae; Streptophyta; Magnoliopsida; Malpighiales; Euphorbiaceae. The record is from RNAcentral.
AUGGAUUCGUUUUCUCCACUCUAUUAAAAAUUCAAUGUUAUAAAUAAAUUCAAGGUGGUGGAUACUUAUUGAAUUAACCAAAAACUUUAGGCUAGUUUUCUAAACCCUAUACUAAAAUUGUUGCAACUAAGCCUUCAAUAUUGCAAAUCCUUUCAACUUAAGAAAUUCACCAAUUCAUAGGCAUAUAGUGGAUAUGCAACGGAAAUUGAUUGGUUGAAAAAUUAAUUCAAGGGCCUAAGAA